This 490-nucleotide ribosomal RNA is filed under the name uncultured bacterium. Its description in RNAcentral is "bacterial SSU rRNA". It matches the Rfam family "Bacterial small subunit ribosomal RNA", at positions 34 to 518 of the family's 1533-position model. The record is from RNAcentral.
CGCUGGCGGCGUGCCUAACACAUGCAAGUCGAGCGGAGAUGAUGUGAGGAGUUUCGGAUGGAAUCACAGUUAUUUAGGCGGCGGACGGGUGAGUAACGCGUGAGCGACCAACCUUGCACAGGGGGAUAACGGACCGAAAGGUUCACUAAUACCGCAUGAGACCACGGUGUUGCAUGACACAGAGGGUCAAAGGAGAGAUCCGGUGCAAGACGGGCUCGCGUCCGAUUAGGUAGUUGGAGGGUAACGGCCCACCAAGCCUAUGAUCGGUAGCCGACCUGAGAGGGUGAUCGGCCACAUUGGAACUGAGAUACGGUCCAAACUCCUACGGGAGGCAGCAGUGGGGAAUAUUGGGCAAUGGGGGAAAAACCCCCUGACCCAGCAACGCCGCGUGAAGGAAGAAGGUUUUCGGAUUGUAAACUUCUGUCCUUGGUGAAGAGAAGAAGACGGUAGCCAAGGAGGAAGCCCCGGCUAACUACGUGCCAGCCGCUGC